AUUAUAAAAAGAGGCCGCGAUGACUAAUUUAAAAGGUAGCAUCGCCGAAGUGAUUAAAUUCACUGGGGUUAUGUCGAAUAGGCAUAACACUGUCAUUAGAAAAUGCCCAUUUUCUUCAUGGUGAGCUUUUUAUAAU
RNAcentral lists this non-coding RNA (136 nucleotides) under Gemella haemolysans. RNAcentral describes it as "Lysine sequence". It matches the Rfam family "Lysine riboswitch aptamer". From Rfam's summary of the family: Riboswitches are metabolite binding domains within certain messenger RNAs that serve as precision sensors for their corresponding targets. The record is from RNAcentral. Lineage: Bacteria; Bacillati; Bacillota; Bacilli; Caryophanales; Gemellaceae.